GACGAACGCUGGCGGCGUGCCUAAUACAUGCAAGUAGAACGCUGAAGAGAGGAGCUUGCUCUUCUUGGAUGAGUUGCGAACGGGUGAGUAACGCGUAGGUAACCUGCCUUGUAGCGGGGGAUAACUAUUGGAAACGAUAGCUAAUACCGCAUAACAAUGGAUGACACAUGUCAUUUAUUUGAAAGGGGCAAUUGCUCCACUACAAGAUGGACCUGCGUUGUAUUAGCUAGUAGGUGAGGUAAUGGCUCACCUAGGCGACGAUACAUAGCCGACCUGAGAGGGUGAUCGGCCACACUGGGACUGGGACACGGCCCAGACUCCUACGGGAGGCAGCAGUAGGGAAUCUUCGGCAAUGGGGGCAACCCUGACCGAGCAACGCCGCGUGAGUGAAGAAGGUUUUCGGAUCGUAAAGCUCUGUUGUAAGUCAAGAACGGGUGUGAGAGUGGAAAGUGCACACUGUGACGGUAGCUUACCAGAAAGGGACGGCUAACUACGUG
Molecule: ribosomal RNA, 497 nt
Filed under: uncultured bacterium
Lineage: Bacteria
Description: partial 16S ribosomal RNA
Rfam family: Bacterial small subunit ribosomal RNA
Source: RNAcentral